AUUGAACGCUGGCGGCAUGCCUUACACAUGCAAGUCGAACGGUAACGGGCCUUCGGGUGCCGACGAGUGGCGAACGGGUGAGUAAUGCAUCGGAACGUACCUUUCAGUGGGGGAUAACGUAGCGAAAGUUACGCUAAUACCGCAUAUUCUGUGAGCAGGAAAGCAGGGGAUCGCAAGACCUUGCGCUGAUUGAGCGGCCGAUGUCAGAUUAGCUAGUUGGUGAGGUAAAGGCUCACCAAGGCGACGAUCUGUAGCGGGUCUGAGAGGAUGAUCCGCCACACUGGAACUGAGACACGGUCCAGACUCCUACGGGAGGCAGCAGUGGGGAAUUUUGGACAAUGGGGGCAACCCUGAUCCAGCCAUGCCGCGUGAGUGAAGAAGGCCUCGGUUGUAAGUACGUCUUUUACGGUCCCGGG
This 416-nucleotide ribosomal RNA is filed under the name uncultured bacterium. Its description in RNAcentral is "bacterial SSU rRNA". It matches the Rfam family "Bacterial small subunit ribosomal RNA", at positions 30 to 449 of the family's 1533-position model. The record is from RNAcentral.